CUAAAGUCUAAAACGACUCUCGGCAACGGAUAUCUCGGCUCUCGCAUCGAUGAAGAACGUAGCGAAAUGCGAUACUUGGUGUGAAUUGCAGAAUCCCGUGAACCAUCGAGUCUUUGAACGCAAGUUGCGCCCCAAGCCUUCUGGUCGAGGGCACGUCUGCCUGGGU
This 166-nucleotide ribosomal RNA is filed under the name Pachycladon latisiliquum. RNAcentral describes it as "5.8S ribosomal RNA". It matches the Rfam family "5.8S ribosomal RNA". Rfam says of the family: 5.8S ribosomal RNA (5.8S rRNA) is a component of the large subunit of the eukaryotic ribosome. It is transcribed by RNA polymerase I as part of the 45S precursor that also contains 18S and 28S rRNA. Functionally, it is thought that 5.8S rRNA may be involved in ribosome translocation. The record is from RNAcentral. Lineage: Eukaryota; Viridiplantae; Streptophyta; Magnoliopsida; Brassicales; Brassicaceae.